CUGAAAUUGCAGAAAUUAUCUCAUCUAUAAGUAACCCCACUGGAAUUGCUUGACUGUUCUGUUUCACAGUGGAGAAAUUCAUCUUUCAUCAGCACACACGAGAAGAGACAACAGGAAGACAAAACAAAUUGAGUAGAUAAUAAAGUUACCUUAUAGGAAUAGGUAAUAUAGACAGGUAAGGUCAGAAAUUUCUGUGGAAUGGAAUAUGAAAAGAUGUUUAUGAGCAGAUUCUAUUUCUUUAGGCAGUUUUAUCAUUCAGAGAAGUAAUCUAUGCAUUUAAUCUAAUGCCAGCUUUUAUUUUUCUUUGGUGAUUACCACACAAAAAUAAGAAGUUGGCACCAAAUUAAAUGCAUGGAUUACUUCUCUGAUAAAAGUACUCGAUAUAAGGGAAAUUUGAAGGAAAUAGAAUGCAUACAUACACACACAUACACUUAGUAUAUGUGUGUGUGUGUGUGUGUAUAUAUAUAUAUCUGUGUGUAUAUACACACCACACACACACACACACACACGUAUUGGAGGAAUAAGAAAUAUUUAAUAAAAUCUACACAAUUUCAAAAAUAUGACCAAAUACUGGUGGUUCCUCAUUUACCAGUAGAACUCUCUCUACAAAUGGAAAGUGAGAAGUCUAUGAAGUUACCUUAGUUUUUCCAAUUAAGACUGUUCAUUGAUUGUAUUUCUUCUGUCUCUAUAAGUACCAUAUUCCCAAUUAGUAUUUCAUCAGUUAUAAGACCCAUCAUUAUUUUGUGUGUAACUGAAAAUGAAAAAAAGAUUUAAAAUAUGACUUAGUAGUUAGAAUUUUUAUCUUAUACGCCUUUAAGUAAAUACAAGAGAACUGUUUCAGCAUAGAUUUUUAAAAAUCAUGUGUGUAAAAGAGAAUGAAAUAUUAAUUAUGAUAUUUACAAAGCUCUGUACAUUCAGAAUUGAACUCUUUCUGCAUCUCUUUUUUGAAUCAGAGUUGUCAUAAACCACAAUUUUUCACGGUAACACCCUCUCUGCCAUCAGGAUAAAUAACAUUUCUUAAAGGAAUAUUCUACUGCAGUCUCUGAGAUUUUUUUCCCUGUCUUAGACAUCCAUUCUACAACUCUGAUGCUGGCACAUUUUUUAUCUUGGCAAAAGGACUUAAUAGAAAAAUUUUAGAUAACAAUCAGGAUUCAUACUCUUCUCAAUAGUCCUUAAAUGGUUUAUUGACCAAAAAGUAAAGAAGUAACAGUCCAGUCAUAUCAUGGAAAGAACAACCAAAUUCAUGCAUGCACAGGCAAAGACAACCAUAUCACUAUGACCACCUGGCUGACAGUAACUGCAGGACAUCAAUUAUUGUAAGACACUUCCUGUAAUAUGUUUAAUUCCUCUGACAUAAGGAUUUAUGUGAAUUAGGAAGUGGCCCAAGGGUGAAAAGUAAUAGGGAAAUAGAGAAAUAGAACCGAUCCAAAGGAAAGGGGGAAAAAAACCCACAAAAAGUGUGAUGUCAAGCAAAGCCUAUUCUGGAGAUGACUUUGGUUCACUCCCACGGGAGAGCCCUAGAGACAAAAAGGUUCUACAGUAGGUUCAAGUCAGAGGCCAGAGAACCCAGAGUAUUUAUACCUCUGCACCAUCAGUUAUUGAAUGGGGGUGGGGGUGGGGGUGGGUGUAAAUUUCCAGGUGCUUCCAGCCUGCAAUGCAGUCAAAGCAUGUUCCUGUAGCCUGAGGACAGCCGUCCAACAAAGAGGUGCAGGUGCUGAAUGUUGAGAGUGAAAGCACAGGGAGCUGUCAUGCAUGAGAGUGGUAGAGGGAUCUGAAAGUGCUAGCAGUGCCUAUUAUACAUCCAAAUACUAAAGACGCUUAGAUGUGAAAAAUGUGUGUCUUAGAAUCGAUAAAAUAUGGUAUAGAGAAUCAAGUCUCCUUGUUCCUGGUUUAUCUCAUAGCAUACUUAAAAUUCAGCUAAAGAUGAAAUGCCUUAACAAGUGAAAUGGGCUUUCUGAAAAAUUAUUUCAAUCAAAAUUGUGUUAAAAGCUAUUUCUAAAAACCCUAACAUGAAAUACUUAGAAGAGAUCAAGUGGUUUGUCCCUGGACAUUCAAGCAAUUGAAUGUCUAAACAAUCCAAGACAGAUAAUUUUGUAGUAUUUACUGUGUGAAGUGAACCUUUAAGGCUGUGGACAAUGCAAACUCCCUCAUGUACCUUGCUCCUUGCCAAUUUCAAACAAACCUUCUCACCUAUGAUAUAAGGCUUCCUUAGAAUUAUUGAUUAAUUAUUUAAGAUACAAUAAAACCAAAGUAUUUUUAAAACACAGUAAUUAUGUUAGUGCAGGUACAUGACAUAGAUAUCCUCAAAUAUUCUUAGGACAUCUAUAAAUCACCACAAACAUUCUGGAAAGCAGUCUUGGAACAUCUAUCAAAGGCCUUAAAAAUUUCUUCUUCUGUGAAUUUAUCCUCACAAAUGACCCCAAGUUUAGACCAAAAUAAAAAAAUGCUUAAAAGGCUUAUUAAAGCAUGAUUUAAAAUAGAAAUGAUUGCCUAAAUUCCUGAAAACAGGGGAAUGUCUAAAUAAAAUAUGGUAUCUAACAUGAUAGAAAAUGUUUACUAAUGUUUAAUGAUACCAAGAAAGUAUCACAAUAAUAACAUCAAGUGGUAAUAACAGGAAACAGAUCUGUAUACAAUAUAAAACCAACAGUAUUGUAUAUAUAAACACCAUAGAAGAUCUGAAAAAAAAUUAGAUGACAUUAUUUGUGAUAUCUAUUUUAUUUAUUAUAUUUUUCUGCAUACUACUCUACAGUGAGCCUGUCCUUUAUAAGAAAAAAUGCUAAUGAUUUAUUGUGUAUGAAAAAAGUGUAUCUGAUUUGAUUAUAUAUUUUUAUUUCCACUUAUAUUUUCUAGGAUUAUUUUGCUUUAGAAUUCUAUGUAUAAUCCUGUGAAAAUUUGUAGUGUUGUAGGGACUGGAAAGAUCAGAGAUUAUGUUAUGGCCAUGAAUGAGGCCUGACCUGCAUUGUCAAUAACUAAAUUGAUUAUUGUGGAAACAACAAAAAAAUUCAUUUUUUGAAAUGAAAAUCUUUAUUGAAAUAACUAUUUUACCAUUGUGUGGUCAGAUUCACUGCAUUUGAUGCUUUUUCAGGAUUUGUUUUUCCUGCUAGAAAUGCUAGAGUUGUCACAGAUGUGAUAUUUAUGUUUUCAUUGUCUGGGGAGGGCCAAGUUUCAUGACAGAGAAAGACUGGGGCCAAUUCUGUGAUUAUGGAUGUCAACUUAUCUCAGAGCAGUAUCAUUGGUUGAGCAGUCCUGCAGGACAUCUAAGUUUACCGUCUUUAUCUUGCCAUUGUCAAAGAUCCUGGACCUAUUUUUUUCUGCCUUGAAAACUUUUGUGCAGUAAAACCAGCAAUGGAUUUUAGCAGAGUUGAUGCAUCAUUAGGAUUUUCACAUUAACUCUUUGGACUUAGAGCCAUGUCUAAAGUGUCCUUCUUUUGGAUAUAGUGCCUGGUGCAGAACUCUACCACAAAACAUCAGGUGUGCCUCUGAAUAGUCUUUGCAAGAAGCACAAAAUCCUAGAAUUGAGGUGAAUUUGUAAGUUCCUCUAGUCCAACCACCUUUCAAAUGAAAGAAUCCUUCCAAAGCACCCCUGGCCAAUAGCUCAUCAAGAUUUUGCUUAGAUAUUCUUAUUGAGGGGGAACUUACUAACUCCUUUAAUUCUUAUUUUGCUUAAGGCUGAGUUUUUAAAACAUCUAACAUCAGCCAAGAUUAUUGAUUUAUCUAUAAGGAAUAAUCUGUGAAUUAACCUUCUGUAGCUUUUCCUUGCUGACCAGGGAAUACCUCCCCAUUGAAGCCUAGGCCAGAUUCCAGUCCGUUUUGACCAUACCCCAUCAUGGUAUUUUAGAGUACACCUGAAUAAGAUACAUGGUGCCAUGUACAUGGAAACUGACUGCUCUCAUGUUACGGGUUGAACUGUGUCCCCCCAAAAUUUGUAUGUUGAAGUCCUAAAAUUGGCACUGUUGCCAUAAGCCAGGGAACUACCUAGGAGAUGCUAGGAGAGAGGCCUAGAAUGGAACCCUCCCUCCCCCGCCCCUGGGGCCUUCAGAGGGAGCGGUGCCCAGCUGACACCUUGACCUUGGACUUCUAGCCUCCAAACUGUGAGACAAUACAUUUCUGUUGCUUAAGCCACUCAGUUAGUGUGCUUUAUUUUGGCAGUCUUAGCAAACUAAUACAUCCCCCAAUCCAGAACUGUCCUCCUUUGGAUAAUAAAAACAGCAAUAAUUAUAGUGUCAUUACCCUGAGUGACUGGUCCCACUGUUGGUCAUUCUUUGUAGAUGUGAGUUAUUGCCCUAUUGAGAUCAGAAGUCCUCUCACUUAGAGGCAUAUCUAAGACUUUUUUCUUGUGGAGGGAGCUCACUCAACUGUAGGUAAGGUUUGACUCAUCUGGGUUAGUAGUAAGAACAAACUUCCAAGUGGCACCAUCUUAAAGGUGCAAGCCCAUGUGGGCGAUGACCAGGUCUGGUAUAUUAAGAGGCUCUUGGUAGCACAUUAGAAACACCUGGAGAGAUUUUAAAAUUUACAAAGCCUAGCCAAACCCCAGACCCAUUAACCCUGACUCUCUGAGAAUAGGACCCUGGCACCUGUGUUUUAAGGAUUCUAGGUGAUUUCAAUGUGUAGCCAAGGUUCACUGCCAUAGCCUGUCCUGGAAUGCAGGUAACUAAAACUUCAGCAGAUUAUGAAAAACAAAAGUUACUUUCUUGGAUGCAUAUAUUCUUAUAGCCUCAAAACUGAAACUGCAAACUGAACAAUGCUGCAGUCAGAUACACACACAUAUUUCAACUGCAUAACUUCCUUUAAUAAUACUUUUAUUUUUCCAAAUUUGAAGACUGUCCCUAAGUCAUUUCUUCUAAAAGUUAGUAAUAAUCCCACCAACUCACAUUUACAUAGAAGUUACAGUUUAAAGUUUGCAUCUCGUAAUAACUUGGUGAGAUAGGGCAAGCAUUAUUUCUAAUUUGCAUAUGAGAAAAAACUAAGGCUCGGAUGAGUUAUGUGACUUCCCUGAGUCAUGUUAGAGUAACUAACUCCUGAUUUGUAAACUGAAGGUCCCAAAUCCUGGGAACUCCCUCAGCUCUGGGCAAGCCAGGACAGGUAGGUCACCCUGCACCUACACAAGGACUGAGCUGAGUUCUAGUUACCUGCUGUGAAGGACUGUAGAGGUUAUCUAAGCCAGCUCCUCCUUUUACUGGAAAAGGAAAAGACUGAGAUAAGUUUCCAAAACCCCUGCUGGAGCACCUUCUACUUCUAGAAAGAUGUUGAGGGGCUUCCAGGGCACAAAGGAAAGAGAAGUAACUGUGUCUCCUUCCCCAACCAUGUAUGUGAUACAUUCAUUCUCUAGGAUUGGAAAUUCCCAGAAAGCUGUGUCAGCAAUGAGAUUUGUUUCAUUGUUUUGCCUUGUUUUGUCAUUGAGUUGUUAUAGUUAAAGUUUAUUAUUUUUUAAUGCAGAAAAAAGUGACUUUUGGGGGAGUGCAGAGUUCUAUGAAUUUUUAACACAUGUCUAGUUAUUUGACCACAACCGUAAUCAAGAUACAGAACAGUUUUAUCAUUUCAAGUGCUCUCCUGCUAUGCUUUUAUAACACACCCUUCCCCACCCCAACUCCUGGCAAUUACUGCUCUAUUCUCCGUAACUGUAGUUUUGCCUUUUCGAGAAUAUCAUAUAAAUAAUCAUGUAUUAUGUAACAUUCUGAGACAGGCUUCUUUCACCCAGCAUAAUGCCUUUGAGAUUCAUCCAGAUCGUUGUGUGUAUCAGUAGUUUGUUUUUAUUACUGGGUUAUAGUUCAUUGUAUGGAUAUACCACAGUUUCUUUAGCCAUUCACCCACUGAAAGUCAUUUGGGUUGUUUCUAGGCUUUGGUGAUUAUGAAUAAAGCUGCUAUCAACAUCCACGUAUUGGUUUUUGUGUGAACAUAAGUAUUCAUUUCUCUAGAUGAAAUACCCACAAGUAGGAUUUCUUGAUUUUGUGAUAUAUAUGUUUUC
This 5965-nucleotide long non-coding RNA is filed under the name Homo sapiens (human). RNAcentral's name for it is "non-protein coding lnc-STXBP4-1:2". The record is from RNAcentral. Lineage: Eukaryota; Metazoa; Chordata; Mammalia; Primates; Hominidae.